This 359-nucleotide ribosomal RNA is filed under the name uncultured Thermosynechococcaceae cyanobacterium. RNAcentral describes it as "bacterial SSU rRNA". It matches the Rfam family "Bacterial small subunit ribosomal RNA", at positions 524 to 881 of the family's 1533-position model. The record is from RNAcentral. Lineage: Bacteria; Bacillati; Cyanobacteriota; Cyanophyceae; Acaryochloridales; Thermosynechococcaceae.
GACGGAGGAGGCAAGCGUUAUCCGGAAUCAUUGGGCGUAAAGCGUCCGUAGGUGGCCCCUCAAGUCUGCUGUUAAAGCCCAGGGCUCAACCCUGGAGAAGCAGUGGAAACUGGAGGGCUAGAGUGCGGUAGGGGUAGAGGGAAUUCCCGGUGUAGCGGUGAAAUGCGUAGAGAUCGGGAAGAACACCAGUGGCGAAAGCGCUCUGCUGGACCGCAACUGACACUGAGGGACGAAAGCUAGGGGAGCGAAUGGGAUUAGAUACCCCAGUAGUCCUAGCCGUAAACGAUGGACACUAGGUGUUGCGCGUAUCGACCCGUGCAGUGCCGUAGCCAACGCGUUAAGUGUCCCGCCUGGGGAGU